This 490-nucleotide ribosomal RNA is filed under the name uncultured bacterium. RNAcentral's name for it is "partial 16S ribosomal RNA". It matches the Rfam family "Bacterial small subunit ribosomal RNA", at positions 30 to 507 of the family's 1533-position model. The record is from RNAcentral.
AUUGAACGCUGGCGGCAGGCCUAACACAUGCAAGUCGAACGGUAACAGGAAGAAGCUUGCUUCUUUGCUGACGAGUGGCGGACGGGUGAGUAAUGUCUGGGAAACUGCCUGAUGGAGGGGGAUAACUACUGGAAACGGUAGCUAAUACCGCAUAACGUCGCAAGACCAAAGAGGGGGACCGUCGGGCCUCUUGCCAUCGGAUGUGCCCAGAUGGGAUUAGCUAGUAGGUGGGGUAACGGCUCACCUAGGCGACGAUCCCUAGCUGGUCUGAGAGGAUGACCAGCCACACUGGAACUGAGACACGGUCCAGACUCCUACGGGAGGCAGCAGUGGGGAAUAUUGCACAAUGGGCGCAAGCCUGGUGCAGCCAUGCCGCGUGUAUGAAGAAGGCCUUCGGGUUGUAAAGUACUUUCAGCGGGGAGGAAGGGAGUAAAGUUAAUACCUUUGCUCAUUGACGUUACCCGCAGAAGAAGCACCGGCUAACUCCGUG